GGGUUGUGAGGUUAAGCGAAUAAGCGUACACGGUGGAUGCCCUGGCAGUCAGAGGCGAUGAAGGACGUGCUAAUCUGCGAAAAGCGCCGGUAAGGUGAUAUGAACCGAUACAGCCGGCGAUGUCCGAAUGGGGAAACCCGGUGCACUCAGUGCAUCAUCGCAACAUGAAUACAUAGUGUUGCGAGGCGAACCGGGGGAACUGAAACAUCUAAGUACCCCGAGGAAAAGAAAUCAACCGAGAUUCCCCCAGUAGCGGCGAGCGAACGGGGAGCAGCCCUGAACCAUCAUCAGUGUGUGUGUUAGUGGAAGCGUCCGGAAUGGCGCACGAUACAGGGUGAAAGUCCCGUACAUGAAAAUGCACAUACUGUGAGUUCGAAGAGUAGGGCGGGACACGUGGUAUCCUGUCUGAAUAUGGGGGGACCAUCCUCCAAGGCUAAAUACUCCUGACUGACCGAUAGUGAACCAGUACCGUGAGGGAAAGGCGAAAAGAACCCCGGCGAGGGGAGUGAAAAGAACCUGAAACCGUGUACGUACAAGCAGUGGGAGCACCCUUUGGGGUGUGACUGCGUACCUUUUGUAUAAUGGGUCAGCGACUUAUAUUCUGUAGCAAGGUUAACCGUAUAGGGGAGCCGCAGGGAAACCGAGUCUUAACUGGGCGUUAAGUUGCAGGGUAUAGACCCGAAACCCGGUGAUCUAGCCAUGGGCAGGUUGAAGGUUGGGUAACACUAACUGGAGGACCGAACCGACUAAUGUUGAAAAAUUAGCGGAUGACCUGUGGCUGGGGGUGAAAGGCCAAUCAAACCGGGAGAUAGCUGGUUCUCCCCGAAAGCUAUUUAGGUAGCGCCUCGUGAACUCAUCUCCGGGGGUAGAGCACUGUUUCGGCUAGGGGGCCAUCCCGGCUUACCAACCCGAUGCAAACUGCGAAUACCGGAGAAUGUUAUCACGGGAGACACACGGCGGGUGCUAACGUCCGUCGUGAAGAGGGAAACAACCCAGACCGCCAGCUAAGGUCCCAAAGUCAUGGUUAAGUGGGAAACGAUGUGGGAAGGCUCAGACAGCCAGGAUGUUGGCUUAGAAGCAGCCAUCAUUUAAAGAAAGCGUAAUAGCUCACUGGUCGAGUCGGCCUGCGCGGAAGAUGUAACGGGGCUAAACCAUGCACCGAAGCUGCGGCAGCGACACUAUGUGUUGUUGGGUAGGGGAGCGUUCUGUAAGCCAUUGAAGGUGGACUGUGAGGUCUGCUGGAGGUAUCAGAAGUGCGAAUGCUGACAUAAGUAACGAUAAAGCGGGUGAAAAGCCCGCUCGCCGGAAGACCAAGGGUUCCUGUCCAACGUUAAUCGGGGCAGGGUGAGUCGACCCCUAAGGCGAGGCUGAAAAGCGUAGUCGAUGGGAAACAGGUUAAUAUUCCUGUACUUGGUGUUACUGCGAAGGGGGGACGGAGAAGGCUAUGUCAUCCGGGCGACGGUUGUCCCGGUUUAAGCGUGUAGGCUGAGAUUCCAGGCAAAUCCGGAAUCUCUUAAGGCUGAGGCGUGAUGACGAGGUGCUACGGCACUGAAGUGACAAAUGCCCUGCUUCCGGGAAAAGCCUCUAAGCUCCAGGUAACACGAAAUCGUACCCCAAACCGACACAGGUGGUCAGGUAGAGAAUACCAAGGCGCUUGAGAGAACUCGGGUGAAGGAACUAGGCAAAAUGGUGCCGUAACUUCGGGAGAAGGCACGCUGGCGCGUAGGUGAAGGGACUUGCUCCCGGAGCUGAAGCCAGUCGAAGAUACCAGCUGGCUGCAACUGUUUAUUAAAAACACAGCACUGUGCAAACACGAAAGUGGACGUAUACGGUGUGACGCCUGCCCGGUGCCGGAAGGUUAAUUGAUGGGGUUAUCGCUCUGCGAGAAGCUCCUGAUCGAAGCCCCGGUAAACGGCGGCCGUAACUAUAACGGUCCUAAGGUAGCGAAAUUCCUUGUCGGGUAAGUUCCGACCUGCACGAAUGGCGUAAUGAUGGCCAGGCUGUCUCCACCCGAGACUCAGUGAAAUUGAAAUCGCUGUGAAGAUGCAGUGUACCCGCGGCAAGACGGAAAGACCCCGUGAACCUUUACUAUAGCUUGACACUGAAUAUUGAGCCUUGAUGUGCAGGAUAGGUGGGAGGCACUGAAGUACGGACGCCAGUUCGUACGGAGCCAUCCUUGAAAUACCACCCUUUAAUGUUUGAUAUUCUAACGUGGACCCGUUAUCCGGGUUGCGGACAGUGUCUGGUGGGUAGUUUGACUGGGGCGGUCUCCUCCCAAAGAGUAACGGAGGAGCACGAAGGUUAGCUAAUCACGGUCGGACAUCGUGAGGUUAGUGCAAAGGCAUAAGCUAGCUUGACUGCGAGAGUGACGGUUCGAGCAGGUGCGAAAGCAGGUCUUAGUGAUCCGGUGGUUCUGAAUGGAAGGGCCAUCGCUCAACGGAUAAAAGGUACUCCGGGGAUAACAGGCUGAUACCGCCCAAGAGUUCAUAUCGACGGCGGUGUUUGGCACCUCGAUGUCGGCUCAUCACAUCCUGGGGCUGAAGUAGGUCCCAAGGGUACGGCUGUUCGCCGUUUAAAGUGGUACGCGAGCUGGGUUUAGAACGUCGUGAGACAGUUCGGUCCCUAUCUGCCGUGGGCGCUGGAGAAUUGAGGGGGGUUGCUCCUAGUACGAGAGGACCGGAGUGAACGCACCACUGGUGUUCGGGUUGUCAUGCCAAUGGCAUUGCCCGGUAGCUAAGUGCGGAAAAGAUAAGUGCUGAAAGCAUCUAAGCACGAAACUUGCCCCGAGAUGAGUUCUCCCUGACCCUUUAAGGGUCCUGAAGGGACGUUGAAGACGACGACGUUGAUAGGCCGGAUGUGUAAGUGCAGCGAUGCAUUGAGCUAACCGGUACUAAUGACCCGUGAGGCUUAACCUUACAACGCCAGAGGCGUUUUG
Molecule: ribosomal RNA, 2935 nt
Filed under: Tatumella morbirosei
Lineage: Bacteria; Pseudomonadati; Pseudomonadota; Gammaproteobacteria; Enterobacterales; Erwiniaceae
Description: bacterial LSU rRNA
Rfam family: Bacterial large subunit ribosomal RNA
Source: RNAcentral